GAUCCUCUGCAGUGUUCGAGGUGCUUUUCAAUAACUGCUCCCGGCCUUUGAAUCAUUACGGGAACCCAAACCGACGUGGAAGCUGCCAGGCCGUAAAUCGGAAGGCAAACGCCGCGGCGGAGGUGCCCACCUUAACAUAAAAGGGACUGGAGCCUUUGGGCAUACGGCACAGGUGGAGGGUCA
RNAcentral lists this non-coding RNA (183 nucleotides) under Opitutaceae bacterium. RNAcentral describes it as "6S RNA". It matches the Rfam family "6S / SsrS RNA". From Rfam's summary of the family: E. coli 6S RNA was the first non coding RNA to be sequenced, but its function was unknown until recently. It consists of 184 nucleotides that fold into an extended hairpin structure with a large single-stranded internal bulge. Lineage: Bacteria; Pseudomonadati; Verrucomicrobiota; Opitutia; Opitutales; Opitutaceae. The record is from RNAcentral.